Molecule: ribosomal RNA, 844 nt
Filed under: uncultured bacterium
Lineage: Bacteria
Description: bacterial SSU rRNA
Rfam family: Bacterial small subunit ribosomal RNA
Source: RNAcentral
UUGAGGGUUGGAGAGGUAGCUGGAAUUAUCGGUGUAGCAGUGAAAUGCGUGGAUAUCGAUAGGAACACUCGUGGCGAAGGCGAGCUACUGGACAACAUCUGACGCUGAGGCUCGAAGGCCAGGGGAGCAAAAGGGAUUAGAUACCCCUGUAGUCCUGGCAGUAAACGGUGUGCGCUUGGUGUGAGGGGAUUCGACCCCCCCUUGUGCCGGAGCUAACGCGUUAAGCGCACCGCCUGGGAAGUACGGCCGCAAGGCUAAAACUCAAAGAAAUUGACGGGGACCCGCACAAGCGGUGGAGUAUGUGGCUUAAUUCGAUGCAACGCGAAGAACCUUACCAAGGCUUGACAUGGAUUUCUAAGCACGUGAAAGCGUGUGACCCUUCGGGGGACUUCCACAGGUGCUGCAUGGCCGUCGUCAGCUCGUGUCGUGAGAUGUUGGGUUAAGUCCCGCAACGAGCGCAACCCCUGUGAUUAGUUGCCAGCACGUAAUGGUGGGGACUCUAGUCAGACUGCCCAGAUCAACUGGGAGGAAGGUGGGGACGACGUCAGGUCAGUAUGGCCCUUACGCCUUGGGCUGCACACGUACUACAAUGCCCAGCACAAUGAGAACCGAGACCGCGAGGUGGAGGAAAUCUGUAAAACUGGGCCCAGUUCGGAUUGGAGGCUGCAACUCGCCUCCAUGAAGCCGGAAUCGCUAGUAAUGCUGCAUCAGCUACGGCAGCGUGAAUACGUUCCCGGGUCUUGUACACACCGCCCGUCACAUCAUGGAAGCCGGUAGCACCCGAAGUAUCGUACGAUCCUAAGGUGAAGCUGGUAACUGGGAUGAAGUCGUAACUAAGGUAACC